This is a non-coding RNA of Malus domestica (apple), 3685 nucleotides long. NCBI's taxonomy places the organism in Eukaryota, Viridiplantae, Streptophyta, Magnoliopsida, Rosales, Rosaceae. The record is from RefSeq and is a predicted model, not a curated record.
UGGAAAACCACUGUUCAUUAACAGUGUCCACCCGAUUUUGCCCCUCAUUCUCUUCAUGGUUUUUUAGUUUUAGUGGGGUUGUAUGGUGAAUUGGCCGUUUUGCCCCUCUCUCUUUUUCUUCCGUGCGUGCGUUCUCAGUUCCACACACUUCCAAAUCCCUAAAUUCGCAGGCUUUCCCCCUUCUUUCUCCAACACGGUUUCUGCUAUUGCCCCUGCGUCUUCUACGACUCCGAUCUGCAUAUUUGUUUUGCGUGGUAAGAAUUUUGUUCUCGAUUUGAAACUGGUUGUUUGAUUUCUGUUUGUUUACCAAGAAAUCUCUCUCUUGCGUUUUUCUCCUGAGGUUUAUGCUCAGAUCACUUUGCAUCCAGAAGCAGAUGUGAGAAACAUGUUUUCUUUUUUGUCUUAUUUAAUGUUUUGUUCCAACUUCCUCUGUUUGGUUGCUUAGAAGAUGGAGAAAAGAAUAUAAAGUCACUAAUGUUAAAGUCUUUUCAAAUCAGUUGGGAUAUUAUCUAAAAUACGAAUAGGGGAAAUUUCACAUUUUCUCAACUCUUUGGACAAUUUUCGUAGUUAAUGAGGCUUAGAUUUUGAUAUAAUAUUUGUCGAAAACGAUAACCGAAUGAAAAAGAUGUGAAGAUUUGAAGUUAGGGAAGCCAAACGGAGAAGAGAAAAAAAAUCAAGAACAGCAGCAAAGCUGCUGGUUCAGUUUUAUUUGUGAUGUAUCUCGAAUGUUGUUUGUUAUUCCUUUAUUUUGUUGGUAUUCUUUAAAGCUACAGUGUUUGUUAACAACUGUUUCCAUUUCUACAUUCGCUAAACCCUCUCUGGAAAUUAAUUAAAAUGAUUUCUGCUACGUGCAAUAUAUGUUACAAUUGAAUUAUUGAGGAAUGUGGGGACUGCACUGAGCAAGUGCUUGGACAAAUUUUUUUAAUUGAAUUGUAAAUUUUGUUUCAGUAUUAGACUUUGUAUGAAUAUGAAUUUAAAUAAUCAUUUUUCAGUUUUUAAAUAAAUGAGUCUCAGUAAUUUGUGUUAGUUUUAUCCGAACAACACGUGCACUUACCUGUCUAUGUUGGUUAACUAAAUUGAUGCAUAUCUUGCCAGUUAGCAUUAUGUAUUUGAAGGAGUUUUUAAAAAUAAAUCCCUUACUAAACACGUUUAAACAAUUGGUCUUUGGUUCUAUAUGUUUGAUAAAAAUUGGGUGGAAGGAGUAACCAGUUUGAUUGUAGUGUGUUAUCACCAUUUUGUUAGAUGCUUAAAUGAAUUGGGUUAGAACUUACCAUGUGGUUUUUUAUCGAUAGCAGCAUUUGGACACAAAGAUGUGUGAAAUGCUAAGCUAUUUACAUGGAAAAAAAAAACAUUGGGGAAAUCAUGCUGUGUUAAGCUAUUUACACAACAAAAAAUAUUGGAGAACAUUGUUUAUUUAGAUUGAUAAGGGUGGUAGAAGUUGUUCAGCAGAAUAGCAAAAGCUUUCUUCCAGUUGUAUUUGUUGUCAAGAAGGCAGCCUAAGCAACAAAAAAAGAAAAGAAAAUAUUGUAACACGUAUUAAGCUGUUGAGAAGAAUUAAGGACCAGAGUUUACUAUUUUUUUUUCGAAUUUUAUUCAUUUGAGGUUUGAUUUUAGGAUUAUGUGUUUUCUGUUUAGUGUGAUUCAAUACGGGUUUUUUGGUCAAAUGGGACAUGGAAUUUCAAAUGCUGUUUGUUAUUUCUUUAUUUUUUUAGUAUUCUUUUGAAGAUCUGCGUAUCGAUUGUUGCUUCUGUUUCUUAUAUAAACACAAUGUGUUUUGCGAUCACAACUUUUGUGAUCAGAAACGUUUCCAGUUAAUUGUACAAUGGCUUUGAUGUCAGCUAAACUGAAUGUAAAUGAAAACCAAGUUGCUGAUCUUACCAGCCCAGUUCACCCAUCUCUUUGCUUAUUUAAAUUAUUUGAAGAUGCCCAUUCGUGUGGCAAUUUGGUGAGAGUCAAUUUGUGAGUUAGAGAGCAAUUUAGGAGAAUCUUCUCUGUUUGUUUGAGUUCUCCACUCGUUUGGUUUAGGGUUUGUAAUUUGUGAGAUUUGGGUUGUGAGCGUUUAAACACUCUUUUGUAAUCUCCGUUUGUUUAGUGAAAUUCCUCGCCGUGCUUCGCCCGUGGAGUAGGCUUUACGCCGAACCACGUAAAUCUCUUGUGUCAGUUUGAGAUUGUUUGUUUUAGCUUUCACCUACGACGUUGAUAUUUGAUAGUUUGUUAUAAUUCGCUUCCGUUUGCGCAUAAAAGUACAACAAUUGCAGAUCCGCUACAUUCUUCAAGAAGUUCGGUUUACAGAACCAGAGCCGUUUAAGCAAAGGUGUCCCAGUUUAUAGAUGAGUAAAAGCGGCAAUCCUCUUCCCAGCUUCACUUCCAUGAAGCUCAAAGGAUGAUAAACAAGAAACGGAAAUCACAAAUUGCAAAUUAGAUGGACAAAAAAGGCAAUAGAAAUUCAUAGGGUCCCAAAUCCGUGACAUAAAAGAAGAAGGUAUCUCAUUACAACCACCUCAGUCUAACAAAACUUUUAGCACUCUUAAAACAUGAUCUGAAUUCUCAGCUCAAGUUGGAGCACUCAUGGCAAGUUGACAUGUCUAGUGUGCAGUGAAGGUGGAUCUUAAAUUGAGUUAAGAGACAAGUAUUGUCAUAUUGGGCAUCAUCGUUACUUACCUAUGAAUCACUCAUGGCGCAAAAAUACUGAACUCUUUAAUAGUCACCGAGAUAUGAGACAUCGUCCUAGAAAAUUCUCAUGUGAUGACAUACUUGAUCAACUUGAUUCCCUUUUAUCUUGUACACUUGGUAAGCAUCGUACUAAUAAAGAUAAGAAGAGGAAGCAGAAUGUCGAAGAAUUAAAUUGGACAAGGAAGAGUAUUUUUUUCGAGUUGGAAUACUGGUCCAAAUUGAAGAUUCAACAUAAUCUUGAUGUUAUGUAUAUUGAGAAGAAUAUAUUUGACUGUUUGAUUGGGACAUUGCUGAAUACUGGGAAGUCGAAGGAUACCUUUAAGGCACAGAUGAAUUUACAAGACAUGAAUAUUAGAUAGAGUUUGCAUUUGAAACUAAAUGCACGUAACAUAUUGGAUAAGCCAUUGGCUCAGUAUGUAUUUAAGUCAUAUAAACGUAAAGAUUUCUUGCAUUGGUUGAAAUCAAUUAAAUUUCUAGAUGGUUAUGUAGCAAAUGUAUCACAUAAAGUGAAUAUAGAUGAAGAAAGUAUUUUUGGUUGGAAGAGUCAUGAUUGUCAUGUGUUGAUGCAAUAUGUGCGUCCUGUGGGCAUUUGAAAAUAUUUGAAAAAGCAUAUAUAUGGUCCAAUUGUUGAGUUUUCUAGUUUUUUUUUUUCAACAAAUAUGUGCAAAGACUCUGACUGUUAUUGAUCUUGACAAGUUGGAAUAAGACAUUGCCUUGAUGUUUUUUUUUUCGAGUUGGAAUACUGGUCCAAAUUGAAGAUUCAACAUAAUCUUGAUGUUAUGUAUAUUGAGAAGAAUAUAUUUGACUGUUUGAUUGGGACAUUGCUGAAUACUGGGAAGUCGAAGGAUACCUUUAAGGCACAGAUGAAUUUACAAGACAUGAAUAUUAGAUAGAGUUUGCAUUUGAAACUAAAUGCACGUAACAUAUUGGAUAAGCCAUUGGCUCAGUAUGUAUUUAAGUCAUAUAAACGUAAAGAUUUCUUGCAUUGGUUGAAAUCAAUUAAAUUUCUAGA